AUGAAUAUUGUUUUUGAAU
This 19-nucleotide small nuclear RNA is filed under the name Arabidopsis thaliana (thale cress). Its description in RNAcentral is "snRNA_18569". Lineage: Eukaryota; Viridiplantae; Streptophyta; Magnoliopsida; Brassicales; Brassicaceae. The record is from RNAcentral.